UAACAUUUUUAAUUAGAAAGCCACCAUUGAUAAAUAAGUUUGUCUUACAAUUAUAUGGUUUCAAAAUUCCAAAUCAAAUCUUAUAUGCCACUCUUCGUCUGUACGCAAGUUUUAAAAUUGGGCAGAGUUUCAAAUUUGGUUCUUCAGUCUUCACCAAUUCCAUCAACAUUAGGUCUCAUAUUUAAUUAUUGGAUACAAAUCUAUUAUUUUUCAAUUUUUGGAAAUAAACAGAUGCUGAUGAUAUAAAUCCCGAUGUAUAAGACGUUGUUAAUGCAUGUAAGGUGCUCGAUAAAAUGUUUAAAAGAAAUCAAGAUACAUAGUAUGAGGCAUAGACUAGAAAAUUCCAACUUUCAUUGUUGGUGGAGACUGGAACUGAUAUUACAUCACCGUUCAACUCGAAGUAUGUGUGUAGUGUUCUUUGUUAUUGUAGAAUUUGCUUGGAGUUGGACCACACAACUAGGGGUGAUCGUGGGCCUAAACCUGCCCAGGAGGCGUGCAACCCACAAUUUACAAGAAACAUGACUCCGAGGACCGAACGAAACAUGAGCAGCACGAGGUUGGGGUAUAAUUUUUUGUUUAGUUUCAUAUCUUUACUGUAUUCCAACUGUGUACUUUUUUUAUUUACUGUCCUCAAUACGAGGUUAGGACCCUUCCAGAAGCAGAGGGUAUCGAAUAACAAUGUAAACACAUACAUUCUUAAAUGUAUUUUAUGACUCCACGUAAGAUAUACUCUGUUUA
Erigeron canadensis is the source of this 738-nucleotide long non-coding RNA. RefSeq lists it as uncharacterized. The transcript is spliced from 3 exons. Lineage: Eukaryota; Viridiplantae; Streptophyta; Magnoliopsida; Asterales; Asteraceae. The record is from RefSeq and is a predicted model, not a curated record.